This 482-nucleotide ribosomal RNA is filed under the name uncultured bacterium. Its description in RNAcentral is "partial 16S ribosomal RNA". It matches the Rfam family "Bacterial small subunit ribosomal RNA", at positions 30 to 507 of the family's 1533-position model. The record is from RNAcentral.
AUUGAACGCUGGCGGCAUGCCUUACACAUGCAAGUCGAACGGUAACGGGCCUUCGGGUGCCGACGAGUGGCGAACGGGUGAGUAAUACAUCGGAACGUGCCCGAUCGUGGGGGAUAACGAGGCGAAAGCUUUGCUAAUACCGCAUACGAUCUACGGAUGACAGCAGGGGACCGCAAGGCCUUGCGCGGACGGAGCGGCCGAUGGCAGAUUAGGUAGUUGGUGGGAUAAAAGCUUACCAAGCCGACGAUCUGUAGCUGGUCUGAGAGGAUGAUCAGCCACACUGGGACUGAGACACGGCCCAGACUCCUACGGGAGGCAGCAGUGGGGAAUUUUGGACAAUGGGCGCAAGCCUGAUCCAACCAUGCCGCGUGCAGGAUGAAGGCCUUCGGGUUGUAAACUGCUUUUGUACGGAACGAAAAGCCUUCUUUUAAUACAGGAGGGUCAUGACGGUACCGUAAGAAUAAGCACCGGCUAACUACGUG